This 427-nucleotide ribosomal RNA is filed under the name uncultured bacterium. RNAcentral describes it as "bacterial SSU rRNA". It matches the Rfam family "Bacterial small subunit ribosomal RNA", at positions 355 to 775 of the family's 1533-position model. The record is from RNAcentral.
UCGAGAAUUUUUCUCAAUGGGCGAAAGCCUGAAGGAGCGACGCCGCGUGGAGGAUGAAGGCCUUCGGGUUGUAAACUCCUGUCAUUGGUGAACAAAGCCUGCGGUUUACUGCCGUCAGGCGUGAUAGUAGCCGAAGAGGAAGAGACGGCUAACUCUGUGCCAGCAGCCGCGGUAAUACAGAGGUCUCAAGCGUUGUUCGGAUUUAUUGGGCGUAAAGGGUGCGUAGGCGGCGGAGUAAGUGGGAUGUGAAAUCCCGGAGCUUAACUUCGGAAUUGCAUUCGAUACUGCUUUGCUAGAGUGCUGGAGAGGAGACUGGAAUUUACGGUGUAGCAGUGAAAUGCGUAGAUAUCGUAAGGAACACCAGUGGCGAAGGCGAGUCUCUGGACAGCUACUGACGCUAAGGCACGAAGGCCAGGGGAGCAAACGG